This 862-nucleotide unclassified non-coding RNA is filed under the name Hevea brasiliensis (rubber tree). The record is from RNAcentral. Lineage: Eukaryota; Viridiplantae; Streptophyta; Magnoliopsida; Malpighiales; Euphorbiaceae.
AAUUACAUAAGUUUCCUAUAAUUAUUGUUACACAUAAUAAUUACAAGGAUUCUAACACAAAUAAAGCCUAAAUCUCAUUGAGAAUACACAAACAUAAUAUAAUGGUUCAGGAGAAUUAAUCGUCUUUAUAUUAUUUUUCAUUGAUGAUUACUAAGAUUUAAAGUCACGGCACCAAAUUAGCAUUAGUGAGUAAUCUCUCUCUUUCUCUUACCCAAAUGCAUUGAUGGCAUGAUUGUGGUCAUUGUAUAAGUUGAUCCUAUCAUGCAUUGUAAUAAUUGUUUCUUCAUUGUUUCAGAUUAAUUGCAGUCGGCACAAAUCAAAUAGAAGAUGACAGGCAUAUAACAUUCAAUUCCAUUAAUAUGCUUGUUAAAUACUUUUCACAAACUCUCAACAGCCACCAGUCCACCCACAGCAGAGAGAGAAACUAAAACAAUUUAAAAAAUAGUUAAUAAUAAUAGAAAAAGAACAUCAAAUAAUAUAUCACAAACACAUCUGAUUUGAAGACACUAGGGGCCAAAAGUCAAGUAAUUAGAAAAGAGUAGAUGAUUCAGAUAUAAAGCUUCCUUUAGGAAUUGUUCUAUUUCAGAUUUAAAGUUUUUACUAGAAGUAAUCUUAAGGUGCAACCCAUCAUUUUUCUUAGAAACAAUCUAUUGUGCACUAGAUAAACAAUAACAGCAAAAACAAAGGUGCUAACAAAGAUCAUCUGGUUUGGUUUAAGUUCUUGUUAAUACUCAUUCAACAGAAGUAACCCUGCUUUCGGUCCUUGCCCAGUAAUCUUAAGGUGCAAGCCAUCAUUUUCUUAGAAACAAUCUAUUGUGCACUAGAUAAACAAUAACAGCAAAAACAAAGGUGCUAACAAAGA